Molecule: ribosomal RNA, 450 nt
Filed under: uncultured bacterium
Lineage: Bacteria
Description: partial 16S ribosomal RNA
Rfam family: Bacterial small subunit ribosomal RNA
Source: RNAcentral
CCUACGGGGGGCUGCAGUGGGGAAUCUUGCGCAAUGGGCGGAAGCCUGACGCAGCGACGCCGCGUGCGGGAAGAAGGCCUUCGGGUUGUAAACCGCUUUCAGGAGGGACGAAGCUACUCGGGUGAAUAGCCCAGAGGGUGACGGUACCUCCAGAAGAAGCCCCGGCUAACUACGUGCCAGCAGCCGCGGUAAUACGUAGGGGGCCAGCGUUGUCCGGAUUCAUUGGGCGUAGACCGCGUAUGGGCGGCCAGAAACCUGGCGGCUCAACCUCCAGCAGUCAUCGGAAAGCAUCUGGCUAGAGUCCGGAAGAGGAGAGUGGAAUUCCUGGUGUAGCGGUGAAAUGCGCAGAUAUCAGGAAGAACACCCAUGGCGAAGGCAGCUCUCUGGGACGGUACUGACGCUGAGACGCGAAAGCGUGGGGAGCGAACAGGAUUAGAUACCCUUGUAGUC